RNAcentral lists this long non-coding RNA (203 nucleotides) under Solanum tuberosum (potato). Its description in RNAcentral is "long non-coding RNA (STUB_LNC001227)". Lineage: Eukaryota; Viridiplantae; Streptophyta; Magnoliopsida; Solanales; Solanaceae. The record is from RNAcentral.
GUAGAGUGUUGUUGUUUCCGAAAUACCCUCAGCUCAAGUAACUCAUAACAAAACAAUGUUAAAAAUAACAUAAAGACGCAAAGCAGACAUAACAAAUAAUAACAAAAUCGUAACAUAGCAAUCAAAAAAAGGCACACUAACAACAUCUCAAAACAAUGCGAUAACUGAAGCAAAGAACAACGAAUAUUAACAGAAAUCAAAAG